Long non-coding RNA from Fukomys damarensis (Damara mole-rat), 3100 nucleotides. RefSeq lists it as uncharacterized. Lineage: Eukaryota; Metazoa; Chordata; Mammalia; Rodentia; Bathyergidae. The transcript has 3 exons. The record is from RefSeq and is a predicted model, not a curated record.
GGAGGCAGCAGAGGAAGAACAGGUGAUCGCGCCCACGGGGAGGGCGUGGCUGUGGGCGGCGCGGGAUGGCAGGAGGCAGGAGGAAGGGAAGCCCGGGGCCACUAGGUGGGUGGGUUGGGACACGCGCCCGGGUCGCUCUCAGGAGUGGAGACCCUGCUGCCUCGCUGAGAGCUAGGGACCAUUCCAGAUCUCAGGAUGAAGAGAAAGAAACAGAGCCCCUGAGAGAGGAAGGGGUUGGCUGAUGCAAGUAGGGGAGAUGGGAAUCAGCGAUCACCCUAAAAGCCGGUUGUGAUACAGGUUGAAGAUUCUUCUCACCAAGUAGGAGCUUAGUAAAGACAAAAUUAUUUCACGGAUAGAAUUUGAUUUCCAUUCAAGAGGCUAUUCAGGUAUUAAUCUAGCAUUUUUAAAGCACCUAGUGUUUGCCAGACACUGAGCUAGGAACCGGAGAGAAGAUGACUGUAUGGUUGCUGACCAGUAAAUAAAUUAUAGUAUCAAUAGUAUCAUUAAAAAGUUUUAAACAUAAAUCUUUAAAGUGUUUUCAGAAAGCAGGGGAAGCAACUCUACUGGUUUAAUUAUAUCUUAAAGAUAUAGAGAUAUUUUUCUGUUAAUCAAAAUAGAAGGAAGAUUGUUGAGAGAAUGGUAGGGAGCCCAGGACUUAAAUUUAACCAGAAGAGAACAGUAUGAAUCUAGAUUUUCUUUGUAUACUCAGACUCCCUGAAGUUGCAACACUGUAUCAAUUAUGACUUCUCUUUUGUAGAAUUUGGAGCAGUCACAAGAGUGUGAAAUAAUUACGAGGUGUGAUUGAAAAAAUACAGUGAAUAUUGACUUUUUAAAAAAUUUUUACUACAGUAAAAGACAUUGCCAUUAACCCCCCUCAAAAUACCCACCUUUGAUUCAAACACACUCACCCCAUCUUUCUUGCCACUUUCUAAAGCAGUUUUGGAAGUCCUGUUUCCUCUUUUCUUGAGUUGCUUCCAUCCAAAAUGGUUACCUUGCAUGGUAAUUUUGACUUCGAGAAAGAGCUAGAGGUUGCACAGUUCCAUAUCGGGUAAAUAAGGUGGAUGAUGAUACACUAUAAUAUUUUUAUGAAUGUACCUGUCCAUUGGAUGGCACUCAGCAGCAGCACUCAUUGUAUUUUUGAUCAUACCUCCUAAAGGUAUACACAAAAGUGGAUUUACAGAACUGCUUGACAAAGGGGCAAGAACUAUAAGUGUGUUCCAAGUGAGAGGAAACAAUUUGGGGGGGGUUAAUAGCAAUGUGUGUUUUGCUAUAAUAAUUUUUAAAAUUAAGCAUUCACUGCAUUUUUGAUCAACCCUUAUAGCUGCCUGGCCACUUUAUAAACUAACUAGUAUGAGAAUCUGAACUUAUAUUUGAAAGGGUCUAAUAUAACAGUAAUGUGAUGUAAGCCUAAUGUGGUAGUAACUGGGGCCAAACUAUGCCUUGUGAGCACUUUUGCCUUUGUGGACUCUUUCCUCCACAAAAAGAUACUAAAAGUUACAUUUUACAAUUGCUUUAGUGUAAAGACAGAUGUACUAUUAUAUGUUAAAACAUUUUCUUCAACUUAAAGGAUCAUUUUUCCCUUCUGAUUUUAAAAGAAAUUAAGAGAUUUCUGAGUCCCCAAACUACUGUGGGCCCCUAGGCACUGUAUCUACUGUGUGUGGUAGGAUUCAGCCCUGGUAGUACCAAUCCUCAGUGCUGAAUUUCUUCUUUUGAAAGAGAAGAGAUGAAUUAAGAAGACCCCAAUCAACACAGAGGCAGAGAGACCCACACUGCAUGUAUGAGAAUUGAUAACGAAUACCAACAUGAAAGAAGUGGCUAAGAAAAUGGAGGGAAGAAAGUACAUCCCCAAACAGCAGGAAAGAACAACAAAAGUUUUCCAAGAGGUGAGGAAAGAAGUGUACCUUGAGGAGUUAUAUUUUGGUGAAAAGUGUGGGCCAGCAGUCCUCUCUGGAAAGAAGACAGAGGCAAACAAAUGGAGUCUGCACGCUGGACUGCCGUUAUUCAAGUUUUCCUAAAAAGUGACAGCAUGGAAAUCCUCAAGUCUACUCAGAGUCUGCACCAAUUUGAUGGGAGAAUCUGCAGAUUUUCAGGCAGUAAGUUGAUCCGUGAUGGCCUUCAACCCAGGAGUAAGGAAUUCUCUGUUUAUAGUUUUGACUCAAAAAGGAUCCAAAUCAGCCCCACCCUGGAAAUGCAUCAUUAAGGGGGAAUUUUCAGUGUUUAAAAAUGGUUUAUAAUAAGGUCACGUUGAAUUUUAUUCUUUUUUUCUUUUUAUGAAGAUAAAUGCAAUCUGUAAAAAAAAAGUUUCAAGAGAAAAAGACAAAUGCCAUCUGUGUGACACUGAUUCUUCAUCAGGAAAUGCUGUAAGGAUACACACACACACACACACACACACACACACACACACACACCACUGACCAUAGGCUGGGGGAUCUGCUCUGGACGAGCUGCUUGAGCAUAUUUCUUGCAUGAAUCAGAAUCAAUGCGGGUGAACCUGAAAAUUGCCUAUUAGGAGCCUUUGGAAAUGUCCAUGAGAGACAAGGGUGAAGACUCAGGAAACAAUCCAGAGGAACUCCUUUUGAUGACCCACAUCAUUACUUGAUGCUGAUGUAGCCAUCUGUGAGAUACCAAAAUAAAUCCUGCCCAAAGGAGCCUAGAGCCAACCAGGGACAGGCCAGGUUCAAAAUAAACCUCUGGCAUCUCCAAAUCUCUCUGAGCUUUUGUCUUCAGGCAUGCUUCAUUAUGGAACUGCUCCUCUCCUCCUUGUUUUUCUUCCCCAUUUCUUGAUUUUUCUCUUUUCUUAGUCACCACUCAGCUCCCUAUGGGUUGAAUAAUAAUUUAGUAUGAGUUCAAUUUUUUUUUCAAAAUAUUUUGCAAUAAUAUUGUAUUGCCUUUACUCUUUAUGGCUGGAGGAGGAGUGGUCAGGUAUGACUGCCCCAGUUUUAAAGGCAGGACAAAAAGGGACAAUGGACCAAGUGAACUACCAGGGAUGAAAGGAAUGAGAUUAGCACCCAUUAUGUUUUUAUCCCCGUGACUGAAAUAAACACAAGAGCGGGACUGUAGUAAUUAUUUGGGAAAGAAUUGGAAAGCACCAUUCUUUGCG